This 65-nucleotide transfer RNA is filed under the name Ixodes tasmani (Tasmanian possum tick). Its description in RNAcentral is "tRNA-Arg". Lineage: Eukaryota; Metazoa; Arthropoda; Arachnida; Ixodida; Ixodidae. The record is from RNAcentral.
AAAAUAAAGCGAUUAUUUGCAAUCAGUUUCGACCUGAUUUUAGAAAAAAAAAUUUUUUCUAUUUU